This 447-nucleotide ribosomal RNA is filed under the name uncultured Thiobacillus sp. RNAcentral describes it as "bacterial SSU rRNA". It matches the Rfam family "Bacterial small subunit ribosomal RNA", at positions 930 to 1382 of the family's 1533-position model. Lineage: Bacteria; Pseudomonadati; Pseudomonadota; Betaproteobacteria; Nitrosomonadales; Thiobacillaceae. The record is from RNAcentral.
CGGUGGAUGAUGUGGAUUAAUUCGAUGCAACGCGAAGACCUUACUACCCUUGACAUGUCCGGAACUUGCCAGAGAUGGCUUGGUGCCCGAAAGGGAAUCGGAACACAGGUGCUGCAUGGCUGUCGUCAGCUCGUGUCGUGAGAUGUUGGGUUAAGUCCCGCAACGAGCCGCAACCCUUAUCAUUAGUUGCUACGCAAGGGCACUCUAAUGAGACUGCCGGUGACAAACCGGAGGAAGGUGGGGAUGACGUCAAGUCCUCAUGGCCCUUAUGGGUAGGGCUUCACACGUCAUACAAUGGUCGGUACAGAGGGUUGCCAAGCCGCGAGGCGGAGCCAAUCCCACAAAGCCGAUCGUAGUCCGGAUUGUUCUCUGCAACUCGAGAGCAUGAAGUCGGAAUCGCUAGUAAUCGCAGGUCAGCAUACUGCGGUGAAUACGUUCCCGGGUCUU